GAAAAGAAAAUAUCAGAUAAUUUUCCAGACGGUUGUGCUAUGAUUAGUGUCUGGCGAAAAGCUUUAGCAUAUAUUUCCUUUGCAACAUCUCAAUCAACAAUUGGUCCAGUU
Molecule: long non-coding RNA, 111 nt
Organism: Limulus polyphemus (Atlantic horseshoe crab)
Lineage: Eukaryota; Metazoa; Arthropoda; Merostomata; Xiphosura; Limulidae
Exons: 3
Source: RefSeq, a predicted model, not a curated record